This 450-nucleotide ribosomal RNA is filed under the name uncultured bacterium. Its description in RNAcentral is "partial 16S ribosomal RNA". It matches the Rfam family "Bacterial small subunit ribosomal RNA", at positions 338 to 795 of the family's 1533-position model. The record is from RNAcentral.
CCUACGGGUGGCUGCAGUGGGGAAUUUUGCGCAAUGGACGAAAGUCUGACGCAGCGACGCCGCGUGAGUGAAGAAGGCCUGCGGGUUGUAAAGCUCUGUCGGAUGGGAAGAAAACUCAUUAGGUUAAUACCCUAGUGAAUUGACGGUACCAUUAAAGGAAGCACCGGCUAACUCCGUGCCAGCAGCCGCGGUAAUACGGAGGGUGCAAGCGUUGCUCGGAAUUAUUGGGCGUAAAGCGCAGGUAUGUGGUGAAAGCCUUGGGCUCAACUCAAGAAGUGCCUCAGAAACGGCGAGACUAGAGUACUGGAGAGGGUAGCGGAAUUCCCGGUGUAGCGGUGAAAUGCGUAGAGAUCGGGAGGAACACCAGCGGCGAAAGCGGCUACCUGGGCAGUUACUGACACUCAACUGCGAAAGCGUGGGGAGCAAACAGGAUUAGAUACCCCAGUAGUC